CAAUUCUAUCAAAGAAGGAGAUGCGCAUAAGUCAAUCAGCUACAAGUGCACCCAUACAUGCACACGCAUGCUUCCUAAAAUCACAACUAAUUGCGCAAGACAAGACGAUGAGAGAGUACGGCACACACGCAACCGCUUCU
Molecule: non-coding RNA, 140 nt
Organism: Caenorhabditis elegans
Lineage: Eukaryota; Metazoa; Nematoda; Chromadorea; Rhabditida; Rhabditidae
Source: Ensembl